UGGGGAAUUUUGGACAAUGGGCGAAAGCCUGAUCCAGCAAUGCCGCGUGUGUGAAGAAGGCCUUCGGGUUGUAAAGCACUUUUGUCCGGAAAGAAAUCCUUGGCUCUAAUACAGUCGGGGGAUGACGGUACCGGAAGAAUAAGCACCGGCUAACUACGUGCCAGCAGCCGCGGUAAUACGUAGGGUGCAAGCGUUAAUCGGAAUUACUGGGCGUAAAGCGUGCGCAGGCGGUUUGCUAAGACCGAUGUGAAAUCCCCGGGCUCAACCUGGGAACUGCAUUGGGUGACUGGCAGGCUAGAGUAUGGCAGAGGGGGGUAGAAUUCCACGUGUAGCAGUGAAAUGCGUAGAGAUGUGGAGGAAUACCGAUGGCGAAGGCAGCCCCCCUGGGCCAAUACUGACGCUCAUGCACGAAAGCGUGGGGAGCAAAACAGGAUUAGAUACCCUGGUAGUCCACGCCCUAAACGAUGUCAACUAGUUGUUGGGGAUUCAUUUUCCUUAGUAAUGUAGCUAACGCGUGAAGUUGACCGCCUGGGGAGUACGGUCGCAAGAUUAAAACUCAAAGGAAUUGACGGGGGUCAU
RNAcentral lists this ribosomal RNA (579 nucleotides) under uncultured bacterium. RNAcentral's name for it is "partial 16S ribosomal RNA". It matches the Rfam family "Bacterial small subunit ribosomal RNA", at positions 355 to 923 of the family's 1533-position model. The record is from RNAcentral.